GUUCCGCAGAAAGUUACAAAGUGAAAUUCAGCCCCCUCCGGAGACACCGGCGAAAUGUCAUUUUUCAGGCAGGAGCUGGGGGGGAGGCUAGCCCUAAAGGCGCUGGUUACUGGCCAAGGUAGGGGGGCAGUAAAUUAACUUAAAAGUCUGAGCCCAGUAACGGACUCGGUGGAAUUUCUGCGAGAAGAGGAGGGGGAGGCGCGAGCGAGAUCAUUGAAUAUUAAGCACGACCCCGCGCGGCGGCCGCGGCCAAACCGUCUCCGUGCAAUACCCAUUUUCUUUAUGAAAAGUUCAAGGUGUCACUGAUGAGCUCAACAAACUGUUGAUCUUGACCACGUGGAGUGGCGGACCGUGGGACCGAAGGGCGCGCUUGCAGGCCCGGCUCUGGCGGUACCCGGGCCCCGGGACCCUUUGCGUGGGACUGUGCGCGGGUGGGGCCACCACGCACCCUGGGCGCUGCCUGCGCCUUGGCCCGGCUUCAGGCUCAGGAAAAUAAUAAUAACGAUUUUAAAACUAUGUUGAGCGAGACACAUUUUACUCCCGGAAUGAUAAUGAGAAGGCUCGGCGUAGGGAGGGGAAGAAGGAGCCCCCCACUUAUAUAACGACUUGAAGUUAUAUCACUUUUGCUUGGGGAGAUUCCGGGAUUUCCGCCCGCGCCAGGUCUGAGGCUGGUUAAAGAUCUUCAAACUUUUUUCCCUUAAGAGCCAAUAAACAAACAGACGCCCCAGGGGCCGACUUAAACUCUGGUAGAGCCCGAGUUCGCUGGAAUUCUCAGAUUCGAAGAAAUGCACACGCCUGCGGUGCUCGCAGAGAAGUCCCUCGGAAGCUAGGCGGGUCGCUUUCGCAACUGGGACUCCAAUGUUCCCAGUGGGAGCGGAGCUCUCACCGCGGCAGCCCCCAGGUUCCCCUAGGCGCCUUAGAGCAAAGGUGGCGGGGGAUCGCGCUGCCCUUCGCCCGCCGGCUCGGAACCAUGAACUUGUAUUCCGGGCGCCGCGCUCCUGCCACAGUGCUCGGCUAAAGAGCUCUAAGGAAUUCGGGAUCUGGGUACACUUCGGGAUCUCAGGCGGCAACCUAUUAGCAGGCGCGUCGCGUCGGGGCUUCCCGGGCAGCUCUGCUCUGGGGAAUUAGAACGAACUCUAGCGGCCGUUUGCAACUCGGCUGUGGGCGCGAGGGCAUCAACAGGUGGCCGUGUGCAGCGGAGAGGCCAAUGGCGAGGACCCGGACUGGGGGUCCUGCUGCCAUGCUGUGAGAAGCCGAAGUUUCAUGGAGAGGCCACAUGGAGUGAAAACAAAGGUGAUAGGGACAAUAGCUCCACCUGAGAUCCUGAUUAAUACACAGACUUUAGCCAUCUUGGAUGCUCCAGCCUAAUCGAUCUCCCACUUGACUCUAGUCUCACCUGACAUUAUGUAGAGGAAAACCAUCCAGCUCCACCUAGUCAACCCACAGAAUAAUGAGAUGAUCAUAAGACUGUAGUUGUUUAACAUUAUUAACUUUUGGGGUGGUUUAUUACACAGUGAUAGAUAAAUAAAAUGGGAGUUAUUAUCCGUGUCUUUAUUUGCACAUAUAUCUGAAUAUUUCAGAUCUACUUCCCCCUGAACUCUGCAGGGUAUAGGUAGCAUUGUG
Molecule: long non-coding RNA, 1623 nt
Filed under: Homo sapiens (human)
Lineage: Eukaryota; Metazoa; Chordata; Mammalia; Primates; Hominidae
Description: non-protein coding lnc-DERL1-3:5
Source: RNAcentral